Molecule: RNA transcript, 1197 nt
Organism: Pyrus x bretschneideri (Chinese white pear)
Lineage: Eukaryota; Viridiplantae; Streptophyta; Magnoliopsida; Rosales; Rosaceae
Exons: 8
Source: RefSeq, a predicted model, not a curated record
CCCUCCAAUUGCUCUUUGGCAUUCUAUUUUUUCCGUUUCUAUACAGCGAAGUGGCGGAUUUACCCUUGCUGGCCACGCGUCUCUCAUCGCUUCACCUUCUGUUUCUCGACUCUUCUACUUCAUUCCACUCUCUCAUUCAAAAAAUCAGAUCGCUCAUCGCUUCUCCAAACCUCUACUUCGACUACAACUUCUAAAUUUUUCCUUUUGUGUUCACUUAUCUCUCUCUCAAAUCUCUGCUUCCGUCGCACUCGAACUUCUCCAAACCUCUACUUCGACUACAACUUCUAAAUUUCUCUAUCUUCUUCUUUCGCUUCUCCUAUGCAAAUCUCAGCAUAAAAUUAGUUUUCAUGUGUCCUUAAAUGCUAAUCUUUUUCCUCUCUCUAAAAUCCAUCUAAAAAAAUGUAUAAUGGGUAUUGUUUCUCUCAGCAGGUUACUCGGAGAAGUGUGUGAAGGGUCAAUAGGACAAGAUGGAUUGCGUUUCAAGGUACAAAAAAUACAGGGCCUGCCUCUCUAUGCGUUUCCAAUCUUCCAUAAAUCAUGUUCGUGGAGGCGAUUUGAGAAGGAUUUGAAGCUCGGCUACAGAGAUUUGAUUCAAAUUGGUGGAUUUGGGUUUGAAGUUGGAGAGACCAAGAACUGGGCACCCUCUACAGACUGCAGUACUACUAUUGCUAAGCAUUUAUCUGUGGAAUGAUCCAUGUGGUUUCACCAAUGAACUCACAUUCUUGGAUGGCAAGAGGACUCAAUAGAGCUCAGUAUAUAACUCAGAAUCUAUUCAUUGAAAUGUGGCGAAGAUUGUCCAUGCUCAUUGCUCCUCUCCUCCUAGUUUUAUGGGUGAUACAAUUACGAAGGUACUGUACGAAGUUACAGAAUUUCAUGCGAACUUUUAAGCAAGUCCAGCUCAAGAUAUAGAUAAAAGGAUACAAGCUCGUAAAAAAAGGUUAGGAAUAUGUACCCCUUUUCUUGGCUUCGGUAUGACUAUAGAAGAAUGUACUGUUCACAAAGGCAAAACAGUGAACAACUACUACUUCAUAUGGGAAGAAGAGGUUGAAGUCACUGGUUUUAUUAAUGCUGGUGACCGAAAUCAAUCCAAGUUAAUGUUAAAACGAUUUCACUAGUUUUGUUACAGUGAGGACUAAGAACUUACAACAUUUUCUUUAUAUCUCUCAUUUUUUAAAUUAAGAAAUUUACUUUUUUAUA